This 411-nucleotide unclassified non-coding RNA is filed under the name soil metagenome. RNAcentral describes it as "partial contains 5.8S ribosomal RNA, internal transcribed spacer 2, and large subunit ribosomal RNA". The stretch from base 1 to 120 matches the Rfam family "5.8S ribosomal RNA", at positions 35 to 154 of the family's 154-position model. The record is from RNAcentral.
GAUGAAGAACGUAGCGAAAUGCGAUAAGUAAUGUGAAUUGCAGAAUUCAGUGAAUCAUCGAAUCUUUGAACGCACCUUGCGCUCUUUGGUAUUCCGAAGAGCAUGCCUGUUUGAGUGUCAUGAAAAUAUCAACCUUGACUUGGGUUUUGUGCUCUAGUCUCGGCUUGGAAUUGGGUGCUUGCCGCUUUUACGAGCGGCUCACCUUAAAUGUAUUAGCUGGAUCUGUCUUUGAGACUUGGUUUGACUUGGCGUAAUAAGUAUUUCGCUAAGGACAUUCUUCGGAGUGGCCUCGUUUCUAGGACGCUUGUCCGCUUUCCAAUACAAGUUCCACCUCGUGGACAUGACUUUUUAUUAUCUGGCCUCAAAUCAGGUAGGACUACCCGCUGAACUUAAGCAUACAAUAGCGGAGGA